This 26-nucleotide small RNA is filed under the name Bombyx mori (domestic silkworm). RNAcentral's name for it is "ovarian small RNA-34770". The record is from RNAcentral. Lineage: Eukaryota; Metazoa; Arthropoda; Insecta; Lepidoptera; Bombycidae.
UGGCAGUGUGGUUAGCUGGUUGUAAA